GUCGGCUUCGGCCGACUAUGAGGAUAAAUGGUGUCGUGGAAUAGACACAGCGGACCCGGGGGCAGUACCCGGCGGCUCCACCA
Molecule: transfer-messenger RNA, 83 nt
Filed under: Sphingopyxis alaskensis RB2256
Lineage: Bacteria; Pseudomonadati; Pseudomonadota; Alphaproteobacteria; Sphingomonadales; Sphingopyxidaceae
Description: transfer-messenger RNA Sphin_alask_RB2256
Rfam family: Alphaproteobacteria transfer-messenger RNA
About the family: Bacterial tmRNA, also known as 10Sa RNA or SsrA, is named for its dual tRNA and mRNA-like properties. Its role is to liberate the mRNA from a stalled ribosome.
Source: RNAcentral